UACGGAAGGGGCAAGCGUUGUUCGGAAUCAUUGGGCGUAAAGGGCGCGUAGGUGGUUCUGUAUGUCUACCGUGAAAGCGUACGGCUCAACCGUAUUUUGUCGGUAGAAACUGCAGGACUUGAGGCUGGGAGGGGCUGGUGGAAUUCCCUGUGUAGCGGUGAAAUGCGUAGAGAUGGGGGAGAACACUCGUGGCGAAGGCGGCCAGCUAGACCAGUUCUGACACUGAGGCGCGAUAGCGGGGGGAGCAAACAGG
This 253-nucleotide ribosomal RNA is filed under the name uncultured bacterium. Its description in RNAcentral is "partial 16S ribosomal RNA". It matches the Rfam family "Bacterial small subunit ribosomal RNA", at positions 524 to 776 of the family's 1533-position model. The record is from RNAcentral.